RNAcentral lists this microRNA precursor (91 nucleotides) under Microtus ochrogaster (prairie vole). Its description in RNAcentral is "miRNA (ENSMOCG00000003992.1)". Lineage: Eukaryota; Metazoa; Chordata; Mammalia; Rodentia; Cricetidae. The record is from RNAcentral.
UGUACGUGUGUGCGUACAUGCACAUGCACGCAUGCACACAGGCACAUACACCCAUGCUCGCAUAUACAUAUGCACGCAUGCACACACCACA